Olea europaea var. sylvestris is the source of this 286-nucleotide long non-coding RNA. RefSeq lists it as uncharacterized. The transcript has 5 exons. The record is from RefSeq and is a predicted model, not a curated record. NCBI's taxonomy places the organism in Eukaryota, Viridiplantae, Streptophyta, Magnoliopsida, Lamiales, Oleaceae.
GUUGAUGCCCUUAAGGUCCAACUACUAUGAAUUCGUGUGACUGGACUUACUCCGGGGAACGGGCAAACAUGGGUUUCAUCUAUAUGAGUUCGGUGACACAACAAAUGGGUGUAUCUCAACAGGAGCACAUUUUAAUCCAAAUGGUUUGACACAUGGAGCUCCUGAGGAUGAAGUUCGCCAUGCGGGUGACCUGGGAAACAUAGUUGCUGACACCAAUGGUGUGGCUGAAGCGACAAUAGUGGACAAUCAGGUUGUUCUCUCUGCAUCUAUAACUAUUUUUGUUGUA